This 72-nucleotide transfer RNA is filed under the name Ictidomys tridecemlineatus (thirteen-lined ground squirrel). RNAcentral describes it as "Spermophilus tridecemlineatus (thirteen-lined ground squirrel) tRNA". It matches the Rfam family "tRNA". From Rfam's summary of the family: Transfer RNA (tRNA) molecules are approximately 80 nucleotides in length. Their secondary structure includes four short double-helical elements and three loops (D, anti-codon, and T loops). The record is from Rfam by way of RNAcentral. Lineage: Eukaryota; Metazoa; Chordata; Mammalia; Rodentia; Sciuridae.
UGGGCUGUGGCUCAGUGGUACAGCGCUUGCCUAGCAUGUGUGAGGCACUGGGUUCGAUUCUCAGCACCACAU